CCCUGGUGAGGAGAACUAUCCCGCAGUCUGAUUCAGUAUAAACAGGCCCUGGUGAGGAGAACUAUCCCUCAGUCCUGAUUCAGUAUAAACAGGCCCUGGUGAGGAGAACUAUCCCUCAGUCUGAUUCAGUAUAAACAGGCCCUGGUGAGGAGAACUAUCCCUCAGUCUGAUUCAGUAUCAGCAGGCCCUGGUGAGGAGAACUAUCCCUCAGUCUGAUUCAGUAUAAACAGGCCCUGGUGAGGAGAACUAUCCCUCAGUCUGAUUCAGUAUCAGCAGGCCCUAUUGAGGAGAACUAUCCUGCAGUCUGAUUCAGUAUAAACAGGCCCUAUUGAGGAGAACUAUCCCUCAGCCUGAUUCAGUAUAAACAGGCCCUGGUGAGGAGAACUAUCCCUCAGUCUGAUUCAGUAUAAACAGGCCCUGGUGAGGAGAACUAUCCCUCAGUCUGAUUCAGUAUCAGCAGGCCCUGGUGAGGAGAACUAUCCCUCAGUCUGAUUCAGUAUCAGCAGGCCCUGGUGAGGAGAACUAUCCCUCAGUCUGAUUCAGUAUCAACAGGCCCAGGCCCUGGUGAGGAGAACUAUCCCUCGGGCAAAGAGGUCAUGUUGGUGUCAUUUCUGUGACACCAUUGGAAGGGCGACACCUGUGGGAGAGGUGUGGGGGAUGCUUAAGAGGAUGAGUGGGGUUAGAAGCGAGUGGGAUUAUACAGUGUUGGCGAGUGGGAAGGAUGUGGCAGUAACAGAUGAGAAGGCAGAGAUGAUGGCGAAAGUGUUUGUCCAAGUGAAUAGCUCUGUAAAUUUGUCAGAGGAGGGGCAGAGGGGGAGAGAGAGAGCGAGAGAGGAGCUUCCUGGAGUGUUGGAUAGGAGGGAGGAUGUAAAUGAUACGUUGAAUGUGUCAUGGCUGAGGUCAAAAGGGCAAUAGGUACGGCUGGGUUAACUUCACCUGGGAAAGAUGAGGUGUGUUAUAUUAUGUUGGCCCAUCUUAGUGAUGAGGCACUGGAUAAGGUAUUGGUGUUGUACAACAGAGUGUGUGAGGAGGGGAAACUACCAGGUAGCUGGAAGAAGGCAGUAGUGGUACCAAUCCGGAAACCAGGAAAGGACCCAAUGAGGCCAACAAGCUAUCAGCCAAUAGCUUUAACAUCACAAGUAUGUAAGAUUAAGAACAAUGGACCCAGUGCUCUGAUUGGAAGGAGAGAUCAGGAAGAGGAGGGGAACUAUGGACCCAGUGCUCUGAUUGGAAGGAGAGGUCAGGAAGGGGAACUAUGGACACAGUGCUCUGAUUGGAAGCAGAGGUCAGGAAGGCUCAGGUGAACAAGGAGACUGUUGUAGCUGUAUUAUUUGAUGUGGAGAAGGUGUAUGAUGUGGAAGGAGGGGUCAGGAAGGCUCAGGUGAACAAGGAGACUGUUGUAGCUGUAUUAUUUGAUGUGGAGAAGGUGUAUGAUGUGGAAGGAGGGGUCAGGAAGGCUCAGGUGAACAAGGAGACUGUUGUAGCUGUAUUAUUUGAUGUGGAGAAGGUGUAUGAUGUGGAAGGAGGGGUUGUUAAUCAAGGUGGAUAUUAUGGGGGUAGGAGGAAGAACACACCACUGGAUAAAGGACUUCCUGUUUGGAAGGUCUAUCCAGGUGAGGGUGGGGAAGUCUCUAUCACCCAGCUACCCUGUGGAUAACGAUACACCGCAGGGGAGCGUGAUUAGUCUUCUGUUGUUCUCAAUCGUGAUCAAUGAUGUUUACUCUCAUGUACGGACGGAUAUUGGGAGGUCGUUAUUUACAGAAGAUGGGGCCUUAUGGAAGAGGGGAAGAAAUGUGCCAUACAUAGUCAGGAAGGUACAGGAAGCAAUUGAUGAGGUAGAGUGGUGGGCAUUAAUGUGGGGAUUCAGGUUCUCUGUAGAGAAAACUCAGUUCUUUACCAGGAGGAAGGUGGGAGAUGAGGUAUGCUUGAGGUUAUAUGGGAGAAACUUGGAGAGGGUGGGGUCCUUCAGGUUCCUUGGGGUAAACUUUGACCCUAGACUGACCUGGGCAGAACACAUUGAGAGAGUGGUGGAAACGUGUAAGAAGGUGCUAAAUGUGAUGCGCUGUCUGACGGGGAAGGAGUGGGGGGCUGGACGUUCCUCAUUGAGGACCAUGUAUGUUGCACUGAUCCGGUCUGACAGGGAAGGAGUGGAGGGGGGGCUGGGCGUUCCUCAUUGAAGACCAUGUAUGUUGCAUUGAUCCAGUCUGACGGGGAAGGAGUAGGGAGCUGGGCAUUCCUCAUUGAGGACCAUGUAUGUUGCAUUGAUCCGGUCUGACGGGGAAGGAGUGGAGGGGCUGGGCGUUCCUCAUUGAGGACCAUGUAUGUUGCAUUGAUCCGGUCUGACGGGGAAGGAGUAGGGAGCUGGGCAUUCCUCACUGAGGACCAUGUAUGUUGCAUUGAUCCGGUCUGAUGGGGAAGGAGUGGGGGCUGGGCGUUCCUCAUUGAGGACCAUGUAUGUUGCAUUGAUCCGGUCUGACAGGGAAGGACUGGGGGCUGGGCGUUCCUCAUUGAGGACCAUGUAUGUUGCACUGAUCUGAUCUGUAAUAGACUGUGGCAGCAUAGCGUAUGGUUCAGCAUCCCGGACAUCAUUGGAAAGUCAUACAGGGGCAAGGACUCAGAAUAUGUAGUGGGGUGUUUCGGACCUCCCCAGUGACUGAACUACAGGUGGA
This is a long non-coding RNA of Oncorhynchus tshawytscha (Chinook salmon), 2669 nucleotides long. The record is from Ensembl. NCBI's taxonomy places the organism in Eukaryota, Metazoa, Chordata, Actinopteri, Salmoniformes, Salmonidae.